GACGAACGCUGGCGGCGUGCCUAACACAUGCAAGUCAAGGGAGAAAGAGGUAGCAAUAUCUCGUGUAAACCGGCGCAAGGGUGCGUAACGCGUAGGCAAUCUGCCCUAAGGACGGGAAUAACUUCGAGAAAUCGAAGAUAAUACCCGAUAAUGCAGCGGCACCGCAUGGUGACAGUUGUUAAAGGUCGCAAGACGCCUUUGGAUGAGCCUGCGUCCCAUUAGAUUGUUGGCGGGGUAACGGCCCACCAAGUCGACGAUGGGUAGCUGGUCUGAGAGGACGAUCAGCCACACUGGAACUGAGAUACGGUCCAGACUCCUACGGGAGGCAGCAGUGAGGAAUAUUGCGCAAUGCCCGCAAGGGUGACGCAGCGACGCCGCGUGAAGGAUGAAGGCCCUCUGGGUCGUAAACUUCUUUUGUGAGGGAAUAACGAACCGCUACAGGCGGUUGUGAAUGUACCUUGCGAAUAAGCAUCGGCUAACUACGUGCCAGCAGCCGCGGUAAUACGUAGGAUGCGAGCGUUGUCCGGAAUUACUGGGUGUAAAGGGAGCGCAGGCGGGUUAGUAAGUCGGUGGUGAAAUCUUCGGGCUCAACCCGAAAGCUGCCACUGAUACUGCUGAUCUUGGGUGCAGAAGAGGUUGAUGGAAUUCUUGGUGUAGCGGUGAAAUGCGUAGAUAUCAAGAAGAACACCGAUGGCGAAGGCAGUCAACUGGUCUGUUACCGACGCUCAUGCUCGAAAGCGUGGGGAUCAAACAGGAUUAGAUACCCUGGUAGUCCACGCCUUAAACGAUGAAUACUCGAUGUCAGCCCGCAAGGGUUGGUGUCCAAGCUAACGCAUUAAGUAUUCCACCUGGGAAGUACGAUCGCAAGGUUGAAACUCAAAGGAAUUGACGGGGGCCCGCACAAGCAGUGGAGCAUGUGGUUUAAUUCGAUGCAACGCGAAGAACCUUACCUGGGUUUGAAAAGCUCUGUAAACCGAUGAAAGUCGGGUAGUGUAGCAAUACACGCGGAGUACAGGUGCUGCAUGGCUGUCGUCAGCUCGUGCCGUGAGGUGUUAGGUUAAGUCCUGCAACGAGCGCAACCCCUGCACUUAGUUGCCAUCAGGUCAUGCUGGGCACUCUAGGUGGACUGCCUACGCAAGUAGUGAGGAAGGUGGGGAUGACGUCAAGUCCUCAUGGCCCUUACACCCAGGGCUACACACGUGCUACAAUGGCCGCUACAACGGGAUGCAAUGCCGUAAGGCGGAGCCAAUCCCUAAAAAGCGGUCUCAGUUCGGAUUGAGGGCUGCAACUCGCCCUCAUGAAGCUGGAAUUGCUAGUAAUCGCAGAUCAGCCACGCUGCGGUGAAUACGUUCCCGGGCCUUGUACACACCGCCCGUCAAGCCAUGGAAGCUGGGGGUACCCGAAGCCGCUGUGCGAACCGCAAGGACGCAGGCGUUUAAGGUAAAACCAGUGACUGGGGCU
This 1461-nucleotide ribosomal RNA is filed under the name uncultured bacterium. Its description in RNAcentral is "bacterial SSU rRNA". It matches the Rfam family "Bacterial small subunit ribosomal RNA". The record is from RNAcentral.